AGACAGAGUCUCGCUCUUGUACUAUCUUGGCUCACUGCAACCUCCACCUCCCGGAUUCAAGCGAUUCUUGUGCUUCAGCCUCUCAAGUAGCUGGAAUUACAGAUGUGCACCACCACGCCUGGCUAAUUUUUUUGUAUUUUUAGUAGAGACGGGGUUUUGCCAUUUUGGCCAGGCUAGUCUCAAAACUCCUGACCUUGGGUGAUCUGUCUGCCUUGGCUUCCUAAAGUGCUGAGAUUACAGGCGUGAGCCACUGCACCAUGCUGUUUCUUCUGCUAAUAAGACUUAUUUUAUUUUAUUUUUUUAAAUGGAGUCUCACUCUGUCGCCAGGCUGGAGUGCAGUGCUGCGAUCUCAGCUCACUGCAACCUCUGCCUCCUGGGUUCAAGCAAUUCUCCUGUCUCAGCCUCCCAAGUAGCUGGGACUACAGGCGUGCACCACCAUGCUGAGCUAAUUUUUAUAUUUUUAGUAGAGACAGGGUUUCACCAUGUUGGCUAGGAUGGUCUCGAUCUGUUGACCUGGUGAUCUGCUCGCCUCGGCCUCCCAAAGUGCUGGGAUUACAGGUAUGAGUCACUGUGCUCGGCCGAGUAUCCUCUUUUUUUUUUUUUUGAGACAGGGUCUUGCUCAGUCACCCAGGGAGGAGUGCAGUGGCUGGACCACAUCUCAUGUACCUGAACUUCCUGGGCUCAUGCGAUCCUCCCACCUCAGUCUCCCAAGUAGUUGGGACUAUGGGCGCAUGCCACCACGCCUAGCUAAUUUUUUUUUUUAAGUAGAUACUGGGUCUCACUAUGUUACCUAGGUUGGUCUUGAACUCCU
Molecule: long non-coding RNA, 811 nt
Filed under: Homo sapiens (human)
Lineage: Eukaryota; Metazoa; Chordata; Mammalia; Primates; Hominidae
Description: non-protein coding lnc-OSBPL7-5:2
Source: RNAcentral